Long non-coding RNA from Anopheles gambiae (African malaria mosquito), 982 nucleotides. RefSeq lists it as uncharacterized. The record is from RefSeq and is a predicted model, not a curated record. The transcript has 2 exons. NCBI's taxonomy places the organism in Eukaryota, Metazoa, Arthropoda, Insecta, Diptera, Culicidae.
CCCCCCGUUACUGACGCAUACCGCAUACGGUGAAAGAACCCCCUCCUGAACCGCAGCUAUCUUCCUCUGACCAGCGGGACCAGGAUCAUACCGUUCCGUUCACCCACUCGGCACCACCAAUCGUACCCACCCACCCACACGUACGCAUCCGCCUGCCGCCGACCGGUGCCAAGAUUGGAAGAUUAUUGUUCUUCGUGCCUCGGGACUGUGCGCGAGUUCUCCGUCGAGUCGUCAAAAGUAGGUGAAAAGGUGAUUGACUGAGCCGCAUCGAACAUAAAGCUUCGCGGGCUCGCCGGCAAACCCUCACCAUCUCGUUGCCACUGCUUGCCCCCACCGUUCGUCCGCAAAGCGAAAGAGGAUUGUCAGCUCUUGUGUCUUUGGCCUUUUGUUCGCACAUCUGUUCGAUAACGGGCCGCGUUCGAUGGCGCUUCACGCUUCACGAUGAAAGCGCACUCUUCACGGUGACUCUUAUCUUAAUCUAUGCGACGCAAUACGCCGCCAUUUGCCAGGUUCGCCUGACAUGUCGUCCUGUAAUCGAUUGUGUAAUCUACAACAGUUUCGAUGGCAGUGGUUUUUACGACCCUGCGAAGCGCAUUAAAAGUUUAAGUGCAUAGGAACAGGGCUAAACAAAAGCUACUUGCUUAAUAGGUUUUUUUGUAUCUAUACUUUGGAAUGUAGUUUUCAUAGCACUCAUGUGCUUGAAUAUUUUAAGCAGCAUUUUUAGAACCUUAGACAAUAUAUGGGCACUUCUGCCAGAAAUUGUGGUGUGUGGCUCUCUAGUCAAACCUAAAAGAAACAGAUUUUGAGAUAUUUCAUAUUUAAAGCAUUAGAAUCUAUUGAGCUUUCGGCAGGUUUAAUGUUCUGCAAUAACUCGUUAUCGAACGCCAUUGUUUUACAGGCACAUCAUUUUAAGUGUUCCAUUGACUCGGCAAUCCUUUAUCACAAAUAAGUUGUCCCUUGCGGCAGAGAUUUCAUGCAUAAA